AAAUUCACUGAAAUGCCUGGCGUACCGUUAGCAGCCACUGUGCACAUCGAAUUAAAAUUAAUGUUUGUCUCAAGCGCUGCAGCUUCAAAUUAUAGCCAUGGAUGACACCUCAAUUUGCGCCUAUGUCACGAUUCUUAUAUUCAUUUUAGUUCUGUUCCCUGAUUGGCUAUUCGACACACUAUUUUGCCUCCACCGAUUCCUUCACGAUAAAAUUCUUAAAAUCGUCUGUUGCACAAUCCACUUUGUAUUCAACUGCUUCGGUGUUCUGCUCACAGUUUUAAGCAUGUUCUUCAGACCAGCUCCAAAUUGUCCGAGACCUCCAAAAUGCUGUUAACAAUGAGAAUCCUGUCGAUCAUUCACCCCAAAAACAAAAAGAAGAACUACUUUAUGGAUAUUGCGAAAGAAGAUCCAAAUAGCAACCAGUUUUUGAUCACCGUAUCACCUGGCUCAAGAAAAAUCACAUUUCCAACCAGGCGACGCCGCCUUUCGUCCGGUCGCCGGUCAUCGCAUCACAAGUCUGAGCGGCGGAUCUGAGCGGCGAAUUUGUAUAACUCCGAACCAUGAGACGGCGUGAAAACUGGCCACAUGUAUUUGGAUGUGUUAUUCAACUUAGCAGCAUCAAUGCCUACCCUCUAUGUCUGUUUGUGAUGGUGGCCACUAAAAAAGCAGCGCAGGAAAAUGAACAUCAUUAGAUAUCUAGUUUACCAAGCACGUCCAGGCCGCAUUUUGCACUAACGUCGUUACCAUCAAGCCCUUCGACAACCGUCCAGGACUUCAAGGCACACACCUGUAUACAUAUUAUAACUAUUAA
Molecule: long non-coding RNA, 811 nt
Organism: Amphibalanus amphitrite
Lineage: Eukaryota; Metazoa; Arthropoda; Thecostraca; Balanomorpha; Balanidae
Exons: 2
Source: RefSeq, a predicted model, not a curated record